AAAGGAAUAGACGGGGGCUCACACAAGCGGUGGAGCAUGUGGAUCAAUUCGAAGCAACGCGAAGAACCUUACCUGGGUUUGACAUGUACGGAUGCCCUUCCUGAAAGGGGAGUAAGCUGUCUUCGGAUGAAACGUGCACAGGUGCUGCAUGGCUGUCGUCAGCUCGUGCUGUGAAGUGUCGGGUUAAGUCCCAUAACGAGCGAAACCCCUGUCGUUAGUUGCCAUCGGGUCAUGCCGGGUACUCUAACGAGACUGCCGGUGUCAAACCGGAGGAAGGUGGGGAUGACGUCAAGUCAUCAUGGCCUUUAUGCCCAGGGUGUCACACGUGCUACAAUGGUGCGGACAGAGCGACGCAAGACCGUAAGGUGGAGCAAAUCGCAAAAACCGUAUCUCAGUUCGGAUUGAGGUCUGCAACCCGACCUCAUGAAGCUGGAAUCGCUAGUAAUCGCGCAUCAGCCAUGGCGCGGUGAAUGUGUUCCUGAGCCUUGUACACACCGCCCGU
RNAcentral lists this ribosomal RNA (502 nucleotides) under uncultured bacterium. Its description in RNAcentral is "bacterial SSU rRNA". It matches the Rfam family "Bacterial small subunit ribosomal RNA", at positions 903 to 1397 of the family's 1533-position model. The record is from RNAcentral.